CAAGGCUGCCUUUUUUCAGAAGUUGGACUUUUUGCGCUACCUGCUGGCCUUUACUUGGAAUAUAAUCCAAGGCCGAUGGAGACCAUGGGAACCAUCGUAUUUUGGUAUUUUAUGACUUUCUUUCAAAAUCUGUUUGUUCCUGCAGUCAUAAUAAAUCUGGUAUACCUAUUGAAAACAAUUAAGGCCCUACUGAAAUAACUCUGUGAGAAAGGAUCAAAACUGGAUAAUGGAGAACUUAAGCUCUUGGAGGAGAGAUAUGAGGCAAACAUAGCAGAACUUAGAGAACAAAAAGCUGCAAGACCAUAUCGACGAUUGUGUGACUUCUCAGCACCACAAAGAGCAAGAAAAUGAAGAUAUGAAGGUGUUAGCCAGAAAGAGAAUGCACAAACUACAGACAUAUGUCGAGUCCUACCAGAAUGAGAACGCCACUUUGAAGAACCAGGUUGAAAAUGUGCAGUCAGAGAUGGAGCUCUGCCAGAAGGAAAAUGCAUAACUGAAGGACCAGGUUCAAUAUGUAAGUUUCAACAGUCACACGUUGCAAUUUCUCAGUUCUCAGCAUAUUGUAGAUCAUGUUUUAAACAUUAGUGCUGGUGUCAGACCUAAUAAUGGAAAAAAAGAGAGAGAGAGGAAUUAUGUAUCUCUUGUGUCAUUAGUCUGUAAUAAAGGCUAAAGUUGAGAGGCGUCACGCAGAGGACAAACAGAUGGCUCUCAAGGACAAAAUCAAAGAAUUAAAGAAAGAACUGGAAAAUAAAGACGAGUCCGUCGAGACCCAGGUGAGUCUCCUCACCAGGUAGCUUAAGAUCCACUCGCAAGUCAGGGAAGAGUUGGGACAGACAGAGGGAUGUUCACAUAUUUUUAAUACUUUUGAAGACGUGAACAGAGGUAUUAUAUUAUAAUAUGGUUGUAUAUUGUUGUGUUAUUCAUAAAUACACUGGUUUAUUUUUUACAGAUUGCAUCACUCGAAAACAAAGCCCACGAGAGAUUGGUAUGAAUUUUUGGUCAACCAUUACACCAUUUGAAAACAUAGUUUAAAUCGAUGUUCCAAUCCUAAGGUGUCGUUCUUGUUGACACAGAUGAAGGCCUCAGCUCUACAGCGUGAGCUGAUGGACAAGAAGACAG
Clupea harengus (Atlantic herring) is the source of this 1119-nucleotide long non-coding RNA. The record is from Ensembl. Lineage: Eukaryota; Metazoa; Chordata; Actinopteri; Clupeiformes; Clupeidae.